This 636-nucleotide ribosomal RNA is filed under the name uncultured bacterium. RNAcentral describes it as "bacterial SSU rRNA". It matches the Rfam family "Bacterial small subunit ribosomal RNA", at positions 21 to 650 of the family's 1533-position model. The record is from RNAcentral.
GGCUCAGAUUGAACGCUGGCGGCAUGCCUUACACAUGCAAGUCGAACGGCAGCACGGGAGCAAUCCUGGUGGCGAGUGGCGAACGGGUGAGUAAUAUAUCGGAACGUGCCCAGUCGUGGGGGAUAACGCAGCGAAAGCUGUGCUAAUACCGCAUACGAUCUCUGGAUGAAAGCGGGGGACUCGUAAGAGCCUCGCGCGAUUGGAGCGGCCGAUAUCAGAUUAGCUAGUUGGUGGGGUAAAGGCCCACCAAGGCGACGACCUGUAGCUGGUCUGAGAGGACGACCAGCCACACUGGAACUGAGACACGGUCCAGACUCCUACGGGAGGCAGCAGUGGGGAAUUUUGGACAAUGGGCGCAAGCCUGAUCCAGCAAUGCCGCGUGCAGGAUGAAGGCCUUCGGGUUGUAAACUGCUUUUGUACGGAACGAAAAGGUCUGCCUUAAUACGGUGGGCCCAUGACGGUACCGUAAGAAUAAGCACCGGCUAACUACGUGCCAGCAGCCGCGGUAAUACGUAGGGUGCGAGCGUUAAUCGGAAUUACUGGGCGUAAAGCGUGCGCAGGCGGUUAUAUAAGACAGAUGUGAAAUCCCCGGGCUCAACCUGGGACCUGCAUUUGUGACUGUAAAGCUAGAGUACG